Molecule: ribosomal RNA, 936 nt
Filed under: uncultured bacterium
Lineage: Bacteria
Description: bacterial SSU rRNA
Rfam family: Bacterial small subunit ribosomal RNA
Source: RNAcentral
GCCAGCCGCCGCGGUAAACGUAGGAGGCGAGCGUUAUCCGGAUUUACUGGGCAUAAAGCGUGUGUAGGCGGUUUGAUAAGUUGGAUGUGAAAGCUCCUGGCUUAACUGGGAGAGGUCGUUCAAAACUAUCAGACUUGAGAGUGGUAGAGGGAGGUGGAAUUCCGCAUGUAGUGGUGAAAUGCGUAGAUAUGCGGAGGAACACCAGUGGCGAAAGCGGCCUCCUGGCCCAUUUCUGACGCUCAGACACGAAAGCUAAGGUAGCAAACGGGAUUAGAGACCCCGGUAGUCUUAGCUGUAAACGAUGUGAACUUAGUGUCGGUGGGGUUAAAUCCAUCGGUACUGAAGCUAACGCGAUAAGUUCACCGCCUGAGGACUACGGCCGCAAGGUUAAAACUCAAAGGAAUUGACGGGGCCCCGCACGAGCAGCGGAGCGUGUGGUUUAAUUCGAUGUUACACGAAGAACCUUACCAGGGUUUGACAUGCAAGUGGUAGGAAACCGAAAGGCGACCGACCCUUCGGGGAGCUUGCACAGGUGCUGCAUGGCUGUCGUCAGCUCGUGUCGUGAGAUGUUCGGUUAAGUCCGCUAACGAGCGCAACCCUCGCUGUGUGUUAUAUGUGUCACACGGGACUGCCGGUCUUAAGCCGGAGGAAGGUGAGGAUGAUGUCAAGUCAGCAUGGCCUUUAUAUCCUGGGCUACACACACGCUACAAUGGCCAACACAAUAGGUUGCUAAGCCGCGAGGUGGAGCCAAUCCAUAAAGUUGGUCUCAGUUCAGAUUGUAGGCUGCAACCCGCCUGCAUGAAGAUGGAGUUGCUAGUAACCGCAGGUCAGCUAUACUGCGGUGAAUACGUUCCCGGGGCUUGCACACACCGCCCGUGCACACCGCCCGUACACACCGCCCGUACUCUCCGCCCGUACACACCGCCCAAGGGCGAA